RNAcentral lists this ribosomal RNA (32 nucleotides) under Rhodopseudomonas palustris. Its description in RNAcentral is "partial 16S rRNA". Lineage: Bacteria; Pseudomonadati; Pseudomonadota; Alphaproteobacteria; Hyphomicrobiales; Nitrobacteraceae. RNAcentral also lists the same sequence under 13 other names. The record is from RNAcentral.
AGGGGAACCUGCGGCUGGAUCACCUCCUUUCU